Molecule: ribosomal RNA, 339 nt
Filed under: Triticum aestivum (bread wheat)
Lineage: Eukaryota; Viridiplantae; Streptophyta; Magnoliopsida; Poales; Poaceae
Description: partial small subunit ribosomal RNA
Source: RNAcentral
AUGGAGCUACCCGAGAAAGAACUCGACAACAUCUUGCAAGCUACAUUGAGCCCUAUGUUCUUUACCCACAGCUCACCUCGUGCCGUCCCAUCCCCUGCUGCUAUUGCAGGGCGCACGUUGUUGAUCUAUUCCAUCAGGAUUCUGGAAAAGAAAGGAAAAACCUUGAAGUGGCCACUCAAAGUGUAUGGUGUGAUCGUUGCUCGAGACACGGUGGAUCGCAACCGCAACAUUCUAUUCUCUCGAUCAAGGUGUAACUACCAAAAACUCGAUAAACAAGUAUGUACUAUAUAUUUCAGUUUGCUCCUCAAUUUUCUUUGUUUCCUCUUCCUACUUUCCUAG